GGCCUAAUGGCUCAGUUGGUUAGAGCGCCGCCCUGUCACGGCGGAGGUCGCGGGUUCGAGUCCCGCUUGGGUCGC
Molecule: transfer RNA, 75 nt
Filed under: Roseburia inulinivorans
Lineage: Bacteria; Bacillati; Bacillota; Clostridia; Lachnospirales; Lachnospiraceae
Description: tRNA-Asp(gtc)
Rfam family: tRNA
About the family: Transfer RNA (tRNA) molecules are approximately 80 nucleotides in length. Their secondary structure includes four short double-helical elements and three loops (D, anti-codon, and T loops).
Source: RNAcentral